UAAAAAAAAUCAUUUCGUUCGCGAGUCAAGUGGAAACCUUGCCCUUAGCGUUAUUUAUUUACUUUUCAUCAUUAAAUUUUGCCUUCGCAUCAAUGAAGUGUUGUCGGAUAGUAUUAUAAAGUAAUUAUUUCCCAGCUAGUGGAAUAAAAACGUGCAAAUGUCGGAAGAAAUCAAUGAUAUCGCUAUGACGAGCACAGAAGCCGAUUCUUCACAAACACAGGGACAUGAUGCAACGUCAACCCCCACCGCAGACGAUACUGCCUCGAGCAGUGCAGCGACACCGGCCGGCAGCGAGGGCCAGGCGUCGCGCCAGUCCAACCUGCAGCGCAUCCAGCAGCGCAAGGAGCAGGUGUUCAACUGGCCGCACAACAAGAAGCUGCUCAAGCUUGCCAUUUAUUCGGCUUGUCAGACCCCAGAUUGUACCUGCAAUGGCUGGAAGACACCAGUCACACAGCAAACAGCUAAAACCAAUACCCGCGCAGACACCCAGCCUUUGGCUACUUUCAACGAUCCGUGCCGGAAUUGUAAUCACAUUUUAGAGAAACAUGUAACACAGCUGCAAACUUUGCCGGUGACAGAAGUGAACCGCUUGCUCGGUGCAGUGGUUGAUGUGGAGAAUAUAUUUAUGUCCAUGCACAGGGAAGACGAUCAUGACACUAAACGAGUUUAUUACUAUUUAUUUAAACUCCUCCGCAAAUGCAUUCUAACCCGCACCUCGCCUCGCAUCGAAGGGCCACUAGGGCAGCCUCCGUUCGAGAGACCCUCGAUAGCCAAGGCUAUCACCAACUUCGUACUGUACAAGUUCCACACGCUGCCACAGAGGGAGUGGCAGACCAUGUACGACUUGGCCAAAAUGUUCCUACACUGCUUCAAUCACUGGAAUUUUGAAGCACCUAGCGUUAGAAAAUUGCAAGUGUCAAAUCCUGAGGAUAUCUCGGCAUAUCAAAUUAAUUUUACAAGAUGGUUGGUGUUCUGCCACGUUCCCGCGUUCUGCGACUCGCUGCCGCACUACGAAACGUCGCUGGUAUUCGGUCGCACGCUGCUGCGCGCCGUGUUCAAGUCGGUGUGUAGACAGCUCAUGGACAAGUGCCAUUCGGAACGCGACCGCAUGCCGCCGGAGAAGCGAGUGCUGGUCUUGACGCACUUCCCUCGUUUCCUGGCGCUGCUCGAGGAGGAGAUCUUCAGCGCCAGCUCGCCCAUCUGGGACCCCGAGUUCAAGCAAAUGCCGCCCAACCACCACCUGCAGGCCAUCCUCGAGAACAAGACCACGGGCCGCCGCGGUGAGUUCGAGCGCGUCACGCCCAGCGGAGAGAGUAAGGACGGUUUCACCACCGUCUCGCUGUCCUCAGGUUCAAUAAAGCAAGAAGGCGUUCGCGAGGGCAAACGCGCCGCCGACGGGCGCGUCGGAGAGCCGCCCGGAGCCAAGCGGCGCCGCGUGGCCGACGAGGCGGGCGAUGACGUCAGCGAGCGCACAGUGGCCGACAUCGUGGCAACCAUAUCCGACCCCAACUACAUGUGCGGACCCGACGCACUGUUCCAGACGCAAGCGCCGCGCGACGAGGCGGCCAAGCUGGAGGAGCAGCGCAAGAUGAUCGAAUUCCACGUCAUCGGCAACUCGCUCACUGGCCCUGUCAACAAGCAGACCAUGCUCUGGCUCAUAGGUCUUCACAAUGUUUUUUCACACCAACUCCCAGAAAUGACCAAAGAAUACAUCUCGCAACUAGUUUUUGAUCCGAAACACAAAACUUUAGCGCUAAUAAAAGAAGGCAGACCCAUUGGCGGGAUUUGCUUCAGGACAUUUAAUUCCCAAGGUUUCAGUGAGAUAGUAUUUUGUGCGGUGACGUCAAACGAGCAGGUGAAAGGCUACGGGACCCACCUGAUGAACCAUCUCAAGGACUACCACAUCAGAAACAACAUUCUGCACUUCCUAACAUUCGCUGAUGAGUUCGCUAUAGGCUACUUCAAGAAGCAGGGCUUCAGCAAGGACAUCAAGCUGCCGCGCGCCAUGUACCAGGGCUACAUCAAAGACUACGAAGGCGCCACGCUCAUGCAUUGUGAACUAAAUCCAAAGAUCGUGUAUACCCACUUCACAGCCGUCAUACGCAAGCAAAAGGAGAUAGUCAAGAAAUUGAUUGACAUGCGGCAAAAAGAAGUAAGGAAAAUUCAUCCAGGACUCACCUGUUUCAAAGAUGGCGUGCGCUCGAUCCCCGUGGAGUGCGUCCCAGGCCUGCGGGAGACGGGCUGGCGCGCCGCGCCGCGCGCGCCCGAGCCAGAGCCUGACGCGGACUUAGCCGCACUGAGGGCCGUGCUGCACCAGGUCAAAAAUCAUGCGGCCGCGUGGCCCUUCCUGAAACCCGUCGACAAAGCAGAAGUCCCGGAUUAUUACGACCACAUCAAGUAUCCUAUGGACUUGCGCACGAUGGGCGAGCGGCUGAAGGCGCGCUACUACGCGUCCAAGCGACUUUUCAUCGCCGACAUGACGCGUAUCUUCACCAACUGCCGCCUCUACAACUCGCCCGACACCGACUACUACAGGUGCGCAAACACCCUAGAGAAGUACUUCCAAGGCAAGAUGAAGGAAGCUGGUCUGUGGGACAAAUGAUCCUACGACACGCGAGCCUCCACCCCUAGUGAGGCCAGCAGCUAUACAACUUAGCGACACAACACUACGGCACAGCAAAUAACAUGAAACUAAAUAGUUGGCUUACCGGCGAAUGCUGCGGCUACUCAGAAACGCUGUUCACGUAGUUUCUGGUCUGUCGUCGUCGCUCAUGUUUGCAUCUUACUUGAAAAGAGAGGGACGGCAACAUUCGAAACUUCGGAUAACGUUUUUCGUAGUAGGGUUUACUCUGGACCGUUAAGUGUGUGCCUAACGUCUUUAUGUGCCUGACAAUAAGGAACGUUUGUGUGUUUUUCUUAACUCAGCCGUGACAGAUUACAUAAACGUAUUUUUUUAGAACUGAAAUCUGUAGCGUUACAUUGUAUUAUUGUUUACUGACGGCCUUAGAUUAUUUAAUAACAAAAGUUACUAUGUAAGAUAGGUGUAUCUCACUAUAUUUAUUGUUUCCAUACAAAUCUUUUAUAUACUUCAGUAUAACUUUAUACACUUUAUAACUUUAUAUUUCUUUUCCUAUAGUCCGGGAAGUUGCGUAGACAACAAAAAUACCUAGGUAGUGUUACUAAGAUUACCAUGCGUUAUGCAUAUUAGUUAAAUUUUAUCAAGUAUUUACAAACUUUUUUAGAUUUAAGAAUGUCUGUGUUGUAUCGUUGUAAUGAGAAAUUGUGUACAAGACUGUAUUUAUGUUUGCUAGUUUUGCCCACUUAAACUUUGAAAUUCUUUAAUUAUAGUAAUCGCGUAUAAUAUGGUAUUGUAUUAUGUGAGAAUAUCAAUUUGUUUAUCUACACUGGUCAUCAUAAAAAUCGACCCACCCACGACAAGCACUUUCAAACGUAUGCAUCCCCACUUCCCACCAA
This is an RNA transcript of Ostrinia furnacalis (Asian corn borer), 3474 nucleotides long. It is a transcript of the gene named Gcn5 acetyltransferase, with no coding region annotated. The record is from RefSeq and is a predicted model, not a curated record. The transcript has 21 exons. NCBI's taxonomy places the organism in Eukaryota, Metazoa, Arthropoda, Insecta, Lepidoptera, Crambidae.